CGCUGGCAACCUGAUGAAAUGACGCACCGCGAGGAGAUGCUUGCAAUCCUGCUCGUUUUGGCACAUUUUUGCUUUUAUACCAGGGAGCAGAAAGAGAACCGAGGAAGGCCCUGGCUGCUCUGCAUCAUACGCAGACGCGAGGAACAUUGCAGCAGAAUGGAUUCAAUCGGUGCUCCACUCCUCUAGCGGGUUUACAUCAUGGAGGGUUUGGGGAACGUGUGAAUUUGCUUGGUGAGAAGGGAUCUCAUGGCAGUUAUUCCACAGCAAAUAUUGGAUAAGGAAAGACUUCAUACAAAUCAUACAUACGCUGUCAGACGGCCCAAAUGAUCUUGAGCCACUCAAGCCCAACCGUAUCCUCCCUUUGUGAGGAAAACCAUCAUUGCCACAAGGAUUGUUCGGACCACGUGACGUGUAUGGAAAGCGAAGACGGAAGCAAGUUCAGUACAUCUCUGAUCGGUUCUGGAAACGGUGGCUACGGGACUACCUACCUUUGCU
This is a long non-coding RNA of Phycodurus eques (leafy seadragon), 495 nucleotides long. RefSeq lists it as uncharacterized. The record is from RefSeq and is a predicted model, not a curated record. NCBI's taxonomy places the organism in Eukaryota, Metazoa, Chordata, Actinopteri, Syngnathiformes, Syngnathidae. The transcript has 2 exons.